GUAUUGGCUUCGGUGGUACAUAUACUAAAAUUGGAACGGUACAGAGCAGAUUAGCAAUGCCAUUGCGCAAGGAUGACACGCAAAAUCGCGAAGCGUUCCACAUUUUC
Schistocerca nitens (vagrant locust) is the source of this 107-nucleotide small nuclear RNA. Lineage: Eukaryota; Metazoa; Arthropoda; Insecta; Orthoptera; Acrididae. The record is from RefSeq and is a predicted model, not a curated record.